UAAAAUUACGUUGUAUUGAUGUUAAAAUAGAGCGACUGAAAAAUAACUAGUAGUGUGACAAGGUAUGGUAGACAUAAUUUCACCUAUAUUCAAAAAAAUGUAAAUAAAAAAUCAUAAUUAACAAAAUAAAUAAUGUAACAAAGAAUAAAUUAAACAUAUAUAGAAAUACAAAAUAAUGUGUAUACAAAAUGAAUAAACUUAGUUAAAAGUAUAUAGCAAUGGUGUUAGGCAGGUGGGUCAACGCUAGCAAACACACGACCGCCCAUUCAACCACCCAUACAUACAGACGAACGUAUCGAUUCCCCACCCGCAAAUUCAUCUCUACCCCUAUCGCUGCCGCCAACGACCAAGCCCUCGACCGCCGUCUUCGUGUAUGACUCCACACUUUCGCCGUCUCCGUCUCCACCUCCACCGUCGUCCUCGUCGUCUUUGCGCCUCCACCGUCACCGUCUCCAUCUCCAUCUGUGCCUCCCAUCAUCUCCAUCACCGUCUUCUUUGCUGCCGCCCCCUCGCCGUGGUCUCCGCCUCCACCGCUGUCGUCAAGGAGCCGUCAGCCCCGUAGUCUCCAUCGUUGGUG
RNAcentral lists this long non-coding RNA (577 nucleotides) under Hordeum vulgare. RNAcentral's name for it is "long non-coding RNA (HVUL_LNC016193)". The record is from RNAcentral. Lineage: Eukaryota; Viridiplantae; Streptophyta; Magnoliopsida; Poales; Poaceae.